AACGAACGCUGGCGGCAUGCCUAACACAUGCAAGUCGAACGAGACCUUCGGGUCUAGUGGCGCACGGGUGCGUAACGCGUGGGAACCUGCCCUUAGGUUCGGAAUAACUCCCCGAAAGGGGUGCUAAUACCGGAUAAUGUCUUCGGACCAAAGAUUUAUCGCCUUUGGAUGGGCCCGCGUUGGAUUAGCUAGUUGGUAGGGUAAAAGCCUACCAAGGCGACGAUCCAUAGCUGGUCUGAGAGGAUGAUCAGCCACACUGGGACUGAGACACGGCCCAGACUCCUACGGGAGGCAGCAGUGGGGAAAAUUGAACAGUGGGCGAAAGCCUGAUCCAGCAAGGCCGGGUGAGUGAUGAAGGCCUUAGGUUUGUAAAGCUCUUUUACCCGGGAUGAUAAUGACAGUACCGGGAGAAUAAGCUCCGGCUAACUCCGU
This 432-nucleotide ribosomal RNA is filed under the name uncultured bacterium. RNAcentral's name for it is "partial 16S ribosomal RNA". It matches the Rfam family "Bacterial small subunit ribosomal RNA", at positions 29 to 506 of the family's 1533-position model. The record is from RNAcentral.